UACGAGGGGCUAGCGUUGCUCGGAAUCACUGGGCGUAAAGGGUGCGUAGGCGGUCUUUAAGUCAGGGGUGAAAUCCUGGAGCUCAACUCCAGAACUGCCUUUGAUACUGAAGAUCUUGAGUUCGGGAGAGGUGAGUGGAACUGCGAGUGUAGAGGUGAAUUCGUAGAGUAUUCGCAAGAACACCAGUGGCGAAGGCGGCUCACUGGCCCGAUCUAACGCUGAUGCACGAAAGCGUGGGGAGCAAACAGG
Molecule: ribosomal RNA, 249 nt
Filed under: uncultured bacterium
Lineage: Bacteria
Description: partial 16S ribosomal RNA
Rfam family: Bacterial small subunit ribosomal RNA
Source: RNAcentral